This 351-nucleotide ribosomal RNA is filed under the name Triticum aestivum (bread wheat). Its description in RNAcentral is "partial small subunit ribosomal RNA". Lineage: Eukaryota; Viridiplantae; Streptophyta; Magnoliopsida; Poales; Poaceae. The record is from RNAcentral.
AUGAAUUUUGACUUUAUUUGCAAAAUCUCUCUAGAAUUUAGUAAAAUGGGCAUAACUUUUGCAUACGAACUCAGAUUAAAAAGUUUUUUAUAUGAAAAAUCAUCUACUCGAAAAGUUACGGGCCUUUUAAGAUCUGGAGGCAAAAAUCAUCUACUCGGAUUAAAAAAAAUUUUAUAUGAAAAACCAUCUACUUGGAUUAAACAUUUUCAAAAUCCUCAAAAACCUAACAGAAAAAAAGUUACGGGCCUUUUAAUAUCUGGAGGCAAAAAAAUUCAAAAAAUAUCAGUUUUUUUUGAAUUUUUGUUAAAUCUGGUCAAACUAUGGUCAAACUACUUAUUCAAGAAGUAUUAG